Molecule: unclassified non-coding RNA, 234 nt
Filed under: Hevea brasiliensis (rubber tree)
Lineage: Eukaryota; Viridiplantae; Streptophyta; Magnoliopsida; Malpighiales; Euphorbiaceae
Source: RNAcentral
CGCGGUGUCCGCCAGCAGGCGAAGGCGAGACGGCCACCUGGCCGCAGUGCCUUGCGCAUGUUUGCAAAGGAGUCCGAGGGCCACGCAAAGAACAUGACACCGAAGCGGGAGAACAGCAUGUCCGCGCUCGUCGGAGCGAAGGGAUACACCGUCGCGUCCGCCAGCACGAANNNCCUCGCCCGGUGCAUUCGCCGGCGCAAGCUCUCGGGCCCGCCUCAGCAUCGGCUCGGAAAU